GUAAUAGUGUGAUGUUGUUGCGCCAUAUUAUGAACGAAACAGGGUGUUGUGUUUUAUUUUGAAGUAUUGGUUUUAUUUUGAAGAACCGGAUGUCCGGUGAUGGAAGUGACUUUGCUGUUUGUUUUUCGGAUAUUUACGACCUAUUUUGGGUGAGAAGGUAAUAGCUCUUCACUGUUCCUUGUUUCUUAGUGUAAAUAUUCUUUCUAAGCGUUUCGAAUACUUCAAAAGUUAAAACAUUAAUGUUGUGGGCAUAAGUGAUGUGUUGUUGUUUUUUUUUUUUGGCACAGUUUUGUUAAUUAAGGAAUAGAGCGUCGACUGUUUGAAUUGUUUGGUCGUAUCUAUGCAUGGUAUUUACACCACACAGGCGCAGAUAUCAGUCCGCCAGAAAUGUGAAACUUUUGUAUGUGUUUCCAACACAGACUUUUGGAUGAGGAGGAGCAAAUAUCAGUCCGCCAGAAAGUAGAGACCUGUGUAUUUGUUUCGUGUGUCCAACACAGGUAUGUGGAUUUGUGCAUUUUUAUUUUUAUUUUUUUUGUGAUUAAACGUUUUUUUUAAUGUAAUUUAAAUAAUUAUUUUUAUAUGAAUGAUUGUUGUUUAUUUUCUCCUUUUUUCGGACUUUUGGAUGAGGAGGAGCAAAUAUCAGUCCGCCAGAAAGUAGAGACCUGUGUAUUUGUUUCGUGUUUCCAACACAGCUCUGUUGGUAGAGUGGCCGUGCCAGCAACUUGAGGGUUCCAGGUUCAAUCCCUGCUUCCGCCAUCCUAGUCACUGCCGUUGUGUCCUUGGGCAACUCACUCUACCCUCCUGCUCCCAGUGCCACCCACACUGGUUUAAAGGAAUUUUCGACCAUUAUUCCAUAAGCGCGUUGGUGAGGUCACACACUGAUGUUGGUCGAGAAGGUCUGGCUCUCAGUCCCCGUUCUAAUUCAUCCCCAAGGUGUUCUAUCGGGUUCAAGUCAGGACUCUGUGCAGGCCAGUCAAGUUCAUCCACACCAGACUCUGUUAUACAUCUCUUUAUGGACCUUGCUUUGUGCACUGGUGCACGGUCAUUUUGGAAGAGGAAUGGGCCUGCGCCAAACUGUUCCCACGAGGUUGGGAGAAAGGAAUUGUCCAAAAUGUUUUGCUAUCCUGGAGCAUUCACCUGUGGCCGGGCCAAGUGAUUAGGACACCUGAUUCUGAUCAUUUUGAUGGGUGGCCAAAUACUUUUGGCAAUAUAGUGUAAAUCAAAUAAGGGGUUUGUCCUUUUCUGAACCAGCAGUUGGGUUAAAAUUGGGUUAUGUAGUCCUGAAUGGGUCAGAUAGACAUGCAGUGCAGGAAUAGCUGAUCAUUUUUUGGGUAGAAUUUGAUCAGAGAACUUGGGAAUGGAAAAGGAGAUUUAAAAAAAAAAAGGACAUAAUUUAUGUGCAGACAUAGCAAUAGCAAUGAAGCCUGUCAAUGCUUGGGGACGAGCAACUUUGAACUACAUUGGCCAUGACAAUAAAAAAGACCAUUAUAACAUAA
This is a long non-coding RNA of Nerophis ophidion (straightnose pipefish), 1496 nucleotides long. RefSeq lists it as uncharacterized. The transcript is spliced from 4 exons. The record is from RefSeq and is a predicted model, not a curated record. Lineage: Eukaryota; Metazoa; Chordata; Actinopteri; Syngnathiformes; Syngnathidae.